GUUGAGAGGAAUGUUGUCUGGUUCGGGACCAUUCAUAUUGUGUGAAUCAAAAACAUCAUCUUGAUGAAUGAAUGAUUUCGUACCAGGCUUCAUUCCCCCCAAC
RNAcentral lists this microRNA precursor (103 nucleotides) under Macleaya cordata. RNAcentral describes it as "mir-166 microRNA precursor family". It matches the Rfam family "mir-166 microRNA precursor family". Rfam says of the family: This family represents the plant microRNA (miRNA) precursor mir-166. Animal miRNAs are transcribed as ~70nt precursors and subsequently processed by the Dicer enzyme to give a ~22nt product. In plants the precursor sequences may be longer, and the carpel factory (caf) enzyme appears to be involved in processing. Lineage: Eukaryota; Viridiplantae; Streptophyta; Magnoliopsida; Ranunculales; Papaveraceae. The record is from Rfam by way of RNAcentral.